CCCGCCAUUGGCACCCCUGCCCGACCCGGAUCUGUAGUGCCUUCUUUCAUUUUUGCAUUGUAUAAUGAAAAUCAGAAACCAGGUCCUGGCACCGAGCGGCACUUUGGGUUGCUAUACCCUAACGGUUCAAAAGUGUUCGAGAUCGAUCUUAGUGGAGAAACACCUGAAUCGGAAUAUACAAAGCCGUUACCUGCACCGACAAAUAAUGAACCCUAUAAAGGAAAGGCAUGGUGCGUGGUGGCUGAAGGAGCGAAUAAGACUGCGCUGUUGGAUGCGAUAUCGUACGCAUGCUCGCAGGGGAACAAAACUUGCGAGCAGAUCCAGCCCGGAAACAGGUGUUAUAAACAGGAUUCUUUGAUUUGGCAGGCGAGCUACGCGUUUAGUUCGUAUUGGGCCCAGUUCAUGAAGGCGGGCGGGUCCUGUUAUUUCAACGGGUUAGCAACUCAGACCGCUAAAGAUCCGAGUUUCGGGAACUGCAAAUUUCCAAGUGUGACUCUUCAAGGCUGAAUUCAGCAAGUGAUUUGGGUGCCCAUUUUGCUAUAUUGUUGAGAGCUAAUAAAGUAUAUAAUUACUAAAAUGGGUGCCCAAAUCACUUAGCCUUUUUAGCAUAUGCUAUUUUAUGGCUUAUUCUGGAAGAGGCUAGAGAGAGGAUUUGCAACGGCUACAUGUAUUCACUAUUCAGCUUACUUAGUGUUUUUGAACACAACGGCUAAUUUAUUUUUUAUUUUAUAUUUUAUUAUCAUGUGUAAUGGUUCUCCAUUGGAUCUGACAGUAGCCUUUUUAGCUAUUUGGACCAGUCGUGGGUAUUUAUUCUAUGUUCUUAGAUUUUGCCCAAAAGACGGCAUUGUGGGCUUGAGAAAGAUAGAUCAAUUACCCGUGCUAGUAUAAAUGAAUGAUAAUUCCCAUCAA
RNAcentral lists this unclassified non-coding RNA (909 nucleotides) under Hevea brasiliensis (rubber tree). Lineage: Eukaryota; Viridiplantae; Streptophyta; Magnoliopsida; Malpighiales; Euphorbiaceae. The record is from RNAcentral.